AAAAGUUUUCCAAAUACCUCCACAUCAUCACGCCUGGAUUUAGAAAAGAAUAGCAAAAAAAUCUGCACCUCCUGCUUCACAUGCAAUUUGUGUUUGUGUGUUCAGAGCCGGCGGCGAGAGGGGAGACCUCGGCUCAUCCAGCUGGACAGCCUGACCAGGAGGAGUCGAACAUUAACUCUGCUCUUUCAGGGCACCCUGCAGACUCAGCUGCUGGCAUUUGCUAGGGAGUGCAGGCGCCGCUGGGAUGACAUGAACGCCAAACUGGAGUCCAUCACAGGUCGACUGCAGCUGCUUGUCUCAGAGUGGGAGGGAUUUGAAGCACAAAGGGAGGAGCUUGUCGUUUGGUUGGCUGAUAUGGAUGUCCACCUGAGUGAGGUUGACCAGCUGACAGGAAAUACCUGUGAAAAACUGAAACAACUGCAGGUGUGGGGUUGUUUUGAUAUGAGAUAUAUUUGAUAUGACACAUAUGUCAGAGACAUUAUCCUAAACUGGACUAACAAAGAACCAUGAGUCCAACAUGAAACUUGCCUUACAUAACUCUGAAGUUCAUUGAUCAUUUUAAUCCUAAACUUGUUGUUGAAAUAAUUUUACUUAACAUGCAAAUAUCUGCUGAUGAAAAUGUGCUGAUUUAUUGGUCUGUUAUGAAGCUAUUGCUAUUUCUAAUGUGUUUUUAUCACUUUCUGAUGUUUUAUUCAUUAAACAAUACAUGUAUUAAU
This is a long non-coding RNA of Oreochromis niloticus (Nile tilapia), 716 nucleotides long. The record is from Ensembl. Lineage: Eukaryota; Metazoa; Chordata; Actinopteri; Cichliformes; Cichlidae.